This 622-nucleotide long non-coding RNA is filed under the name Sinocyclocheilus grahami. Its description in RNAcentral is "lncRNA (ENSSGRG00000000261.1)". The record is from RNAcentral. Lineage: Eukaryota; Metazoa; Chordata; Actinopteri; Cypriniformes; Cyprinidae.
CUUUACGAAUGACACACACAAUGGAGAAGGUCAUGCUCUUUUGUGCUUUUUCAUACAGAAUAAUUCAGAUCACUUCCAGCGGUAAAUUGAUUCUACUUUACGAUUUCACAUAACUGACCUUUUUAAACUUAAAUAUGUUUUUAUCGAAAAUUUUUUUUCCAGAUGUUUCAGAACAUGAUGUGAGUAUUUUACGAGUCCGGCUGAAUGAAAGCAUCCGUCUGAACUGCAGCAUGACCGACAGAUAUGAAAUCUCCUGGUAUCACCAGAAUCCUGAGUCUGGGCAACUAACACUACUGAUGUCUGCUAAGACCAGCAGUGUAGCGGGAAGAAAACUGCUCGUUAGGUACAAUCAAAACUGGAGUCGUCUGACAGUGAAAGCAGAUGUGGAGAUCAACACAGUCUCGCUAGUUAUUUCUGGACUAACAGAGUCAGAUGCAGGUCUUUAUUUCUGUGGAACAAAAUCAGUGGAAAUGCACUUCAACAAACCCAUCAGACUACAGAUGGAGGACGGAGAGGACAAAGCUCAUUCUGUCACAGAACCGCCGGAGGAUGCUGAGGUCACAGGUGAGAGCGGAAAUCACUCUUGUUCGUGUCGUAUCACUAUUAAUUCUUCAGUCAAGUG